CCAGAUCUCUAUCGUUUCCUACGGCAAAGAAAAACCAGCCGUACUGGGUCACGACGCAGCGGCUUAUGCUAAAAACCGCCGUGCCGUUCUGGUUUACUAAGAAAAUCGUAUGAAUAAUAGUAACUUCAGAUGUCAUGUGUU
Molecule: small RNA, 141 nt
Filed under: Serratia symbiotica str. Tucson
Lineage: Bacteria; Pseudomonadati; Pseudomonadota; Gammaproteobacteria; Enterobacterales; Yersiniaceae
Description: CpoB/ybgF ICR thermometer
Rfam family: CpoB/ybgF ICR thermometer
About the family: Imprinting control region from upstream of cpoB/ybgF (tol/pal system protein).
Source: Rfam by way of RNAcentral